GAAUCUUUCUGAUAGUUAUUUUUUUGAAUCUCCAAGUUGAUAUAUAUUUAGAUACUUCAAGGUUUGUGGAUGAGAGUUUCUACUCUUUUUGAGAAUAGAGUCUUAGAAGUGGAGUGCUUCUGUCAGUUUUGGACAUCCGGAAGUCAGGUGUCUUGAUUCUGUAUUUGGUAAUUGGUUAGAAAGCAGGAACAAAUGAGUGAAUUUGAUACACAGGUAGGCCAAUAAAUAGUUUAGACUUUAGCAUUCAACUUUACUUGGUGGUCUUAGUGACAUAAACCAUUGUGAUGCAGCUACUGUCGACAACAGAAUUCUAAGAGCUGAUAUCGAAACUUUGAGAACAAAAGUACAUAUCAUUCUUUUAAAGAUUGUACAACAUUCAAGACUAUGAUCCUGAUAAAAACAACUUGUGCAGGUUAAGAUGGCAGAAGAAACGGUGAAAAGAGUGACAAGAGUGAACCCUUUGCAUUGCACAAGAACAAACAUGGACAUACCAUUGAAACGGGCAAUCCCAAGUACUGCUGACGCAGGUUUGGGACCAUAUCAGAGAGUAGAUAAACCGUAUUUGAACCGUGAAAGCAUACAGAAUCAGUUUGAUACUAAUCCAAAUAUAUUUGAAACCCUGCCUCAUUGGCGUCACAAGCAUUAACCACAGCAUUGAGUCACUUAUUGGUUUUGUGAUUUUCUUGGGGUAACUCUUUUAUCUUUGCCUUUUUAAUUCCUUGUAAUAUUAGUUACUGUGCCACUCUACUACGGUGUUAUUGUAAGACUUGCUCAUCCACAUUAUUCUCCUAAACAUAUUCGAAUGCAAAUAUACAUAUCAUUAUUUCUAAAAAUACGUUUAUUAUUUGUUUGCCAGUGAAUUCGCUUAUAACAUCACCUAGAUGUUAAAAUGAGAUUCAUUAUUGUGCGUU
Molecule: long non-coding RNA, 911 nt
Organism: Brassica rapa (field mustard)
Lineage: Eukaryota; Viridiplantae; Streptophyta; Magnoliopsida; Brassicales; Brassicaceae
Source: RefSeq, a predicted model, not a curated record